This is a long non-coding RNA of Lycium barbarum (goji berry), 1254 nucleotides long. RefSeq lists it as uncharacterized. NCBI's taxonomy places the organism in Eukaryota, Viridiplantae, Streptophyta, Magnoliopsida, Solanales, Solanaceae. The transcript has 2 exons. The record is from RefSeq and is a predicted model, not a curated record.
GGUAACUGAAGGGCACGUGGAUGAAAGAACUACACUGGAAUUGGAAUUUCUGCUUAGUUUAUUUCAUUGCAAGACAUGCCUAUAUAUACAAACAAUAGUGAAUUCAAAAUAAAGAAUAAUGAAAAAUAUCCUAUAGACAUGUCUAAUUUCUAUUUGCUAUACUAUAACAAACUUUGUCCUAUCUAUAAUUGAAUCUUCCCAUCACUAUCUAAAUAUGCUUGUUGAUCAAGAUUGUCUUGAUCGUGUGGCUCAUGUGAUUUUGUCAACUUUGGAUGGUUGAGAUGAAACCAUUAUUUGGGCUGGAUUUUCAUCAGCUGAAAAUUGAUGACAUCUUUGGUCCAGAGUUGGAUAAUUCUUUGAGCCCAAUGUUUUAAAUGGCCCAAUGCUAUAUUUCGUCUCUUUCUUCUUUUUGGUCAUUCUGCUGUAUUUCAAUUUCCUUUCUUCUUCAACACAUUUGGUAAUUUGAUAAUUUCUACAUCCCCCUUAAGUUGGAGGGGAAUGAAAUGAUGCCCAACUUGCGAAGAACACCAAAAUGUGCUGGUCCAGAUAACGAUUUGGUAAGCAAAUCGACUAAUUGAUCUCGCGAAGGAAGGAAUGAAAGAGAGAUUAAGCAGCCAAGUAUUGUUGUCGGAUAAAAUGGCAAUCAAGAUCCACAUGUUUGGUUCUCUCAUGAAAGACGGGGUUGCGAGCAAUAUGAAUUGCAGCUUGACUAUCAGAAUGGAUCGGAACUGGAAGAGAUGGAGAAAUGGAGAGAUCUGCUAGCAAUCAUAAGAAAUGGGGGAACCGCCUAAACUGAUGAAAAAACGACUGAUUGAUCUUCGAGUGUCUUUGUAUGAAGCCCAAUCAGCAUCGCAAAAGGCAAUCAAAGAGAAUGAAGAAUUAGAAGACAUAAAUAGACCUUGUCUAGGAUUUUUUUCUCAGGUAUUGUAGAACUCUUAAAGCUGCAUUGAAAUGACCAACACAAGGUUGCUACAUAUAUUGACUUUAAGUCAAUAUAACAAAGGAAAGAUCAUGCCUUUUGUGUGUGAGAUAGUUUAACUUACCUACUAAAUGUCUAUAAAGAGUAGGAUCAGUUAGUAGAGGUCCAAAGAAGAAGAAACAGUAGGAAGAUGAGAAACAUCAAACUCAUUAAGAAGGUCCAAUGUGUAUUUUCUUUGGCUGAGAAUAGCACCUUGUGGUUCUCUAAGAAUUUCUAUCCUUAAUAAGUGAUGCAAGUGACCAAGAUUUUUGAUUUUGAACUCAGAAUUAAGAAAA